GACGAACGCUGGCGGCAUGCUUAACACAUGCAAGUCGAACGCAGCAUCGGGGCUUGCUCCGAUGGCUGAGUGGCAGACGGGUGAGUAACACGUGGGAACUUGCCUCUUAGACUGGGACAACCACUGGAAACGGUGGCUAAUACCGGAUACGCCCUGAGGGGGAAAGCAGCAAUGCGCUAAGAGAGAGGCCCGCGGCAGAUUAGGUAGUUGGUGGGGUAAAGGCCUACCAAGCCUGGGAUCUGUAGCUGGUUUGAGAGGAUGAUCAGCCACACGGGGACAGGGACACGGCCCAGAGUCCUACGGGAGGCAGCAGUGGGGAAUAUUGGACAAUGGGGGAAACCCUGAUCCAGCAAUGCCGCGUGAAUGAAGAAGGCCUUAGGGUUGUAAAAUUCUUUUGUUCAUGACGAUAAUGACGGUAGCGGACGAAUAAGCCCUGGCUAACUCUGUGCCAGCAGCCGCCGCCG
This 464-nucleotide ribosomal RNA is filed under the name uncultured bacterium. RNAcentral describes it as "partial 16S ribosomal RNA". It matches the Rfam family "Bacterial small subunit ribosomal RNA", at positions 28 to 523 of the family's 1533-position model. The record is from RNAcentral.